RNAcentral lists this ribosomal RNA (253 nucleotides) under uncultured bacterium. RNAcentral's name for it is "partial 16S ribosomal RNA". It matches the Rfam family "Bacterial small subunit ribosomal RNA", at positions 524 to 776 of the family's 1533-position model. The record is from RNAcentral.
UACGUAGGGGGCAAGCGUUGUCCGGAAUUAUUGGGCGUAAAGAGCGUGUAGGCGGUCCGGGUAAGUCAGAGGUGAAAUCCCGGAGCUCAACUUCGGAAUUGCCUCCGAUACUGCCGUGCUUGAGGACUGGAGAGGAGAUUGGAAUUCACAGUGGAGCAGUGAAAUGCGUAGAUAUUGUAAGGACACUAGUGGCGAAGGCGAAUCUCUGGACAGUUCCUGACGCUGAGGCACGAAGGCCAGGGGAGCAAACGGG